GCCUACGACCAUAUCAUCCUGAAUGCGCCCGAUCUCGUCUGAUCUCGGAAGCUAAGCAUGGUCGAGCCUGGUUAGUAUCUUGGAUGGGAGACUGCCUGGGAAUACCAGGUGUUGUAGGCU
This 120-nucleotide ribosomal RNA is filed under the name Petromyzon marinus (sea lamprey). Lineage: Eukaryota; Metazoa; Chordata; Hyperoartia; Petromyzontiformes; Petromyzontidae. The record is from RNAcentral.